UACAGAGGGGGCGAGCGUUGUUCGGAAUUACUGGGCGUAAAGGGCGCGUAGGCGGCCUCUUAAGUCGAACGUGAAAUCCCCGGGCUCAACCCGGGAACUGCGUCCGAUACUGGGGGGCUUGAAUCCGGGAGAGGGAAGUGGAAUUUCCGGUGUAGCGGUGAAAUGCGUAGAUAUCGGAAGGAACAUCAGUGGCGAAAGCGACUUCCUGGACCAAUACUGACGCUCAUGUGCGAAAGCGUGGGGAGCAAACAGG
Molecule: ribosomal RNA, 253 nt
Filed under: uncultured bacterium
Lineage: Bacteria
Description: partial 16S ribosomal RNA
Rfam family: Bacterial small subunit ribosomal RNA
Source: RNAcentral